UACACCCUGCUGCUUGCGAAGUCUCAGGUUCCACCUAAGAUACGCCUAAACGCAAUCUGUUGAUAUGCUACAGGCAUAGCAAGAGCGGGGUUUU
Molecule: non-coding RNA, 94 nt
Filed under: unclassified sequences
Description: DUF3800-VIII RNA
Rfam family: DUF3800-VIII RNA
About the family: Bacteroidetes, Cyanobacteria, Firmicutes, Planctomycetes (1 example), Proteobacteria, Tenericutes (1 example). Nearby to DUF3800
Source: Rfam by way of RNAcentral